ACUGGGACCCAAAUGGAACUCAAGAUCCCCCGCGUCCUCCUCCUCCUCCUCCUCGUCGCCGUUGCGGCCCUCAUCUCCCUCUCCUCCGCCGCCUCCCCAACCGCCGAUGACCUGGUGGCGGAGCUGGAGACCCUCCGAUCCCAGUCCCCCUCCGGCGUGAUCCACUUCGACGACAGCUCCGUCGCCCGCUUCCUCACCUCCGCCCCCCUCCCCCGCCCCUACUCCCUCCUUGUGUUCUUCGGCGCCUCCAAACCCGACCACCACCUCCGCCGCCUCCGCUCCGAGUUCGCCCUCGUCUCCUCCUCCUUCGCCGCCCAUCAUGCCUCCUCCCGUCGCGUCUUCUUCUGCGACCUCGAGUACCAAGAAUCCGAGUCCUCAUUCUCCCUCUUCGGCGUCACAUCCCUCCCCGACAUCCGUCACGUCGGUCCCCAGCAUCGCUCCCUCCGCGACUCCGACCGGAUGGACCAGUCGGAUUUCUCCGGCCUCGCCGCGUCCAUGGCCCAGUUCGUCGAGGCCAAGACCAGCCUCCCCGUGGGCCCUAUCGUCCGCCCUUCCCUGAUUUCCCCUCGACAAAUCGCCUUCUUGGCGGUCGCCCUCCUGAUCUCCGCGCCGUUCUUGAUCAAGAGGAUCCUCGAAGGGAAAACGAUGCUUCACGACCGUCGGCUCUGGAUGGGCCUCACGGUGUCCGUCUACUUCCUCGGCGUCGCCGGCCUUAUGCACAACAUCAUCCACAAGAUCCCCAUGUACGUGAAGGAUCGGAAAGAUCCGAAUCGGCUCAUCUUCUUCGUCAAGGGCUUCGGGAUGCAGCUCGGCGCGGAGGGCUUCGCCGUAGGGUUUCUGUACACGAUCGUCGGGUUGAUAGUGGCGUUCGCGACGCAUGUGUUGGUGAGGAUGAGGAAUGAGGCGGUGCAGAGGGGGUUCCUGCUGGCGGCAAUGCUGGUGGUGUUCUGGGCGGUCAGGAAGGUGAUCUAUUUGCAUAAUUGGAAGACUGGGUAUACAGUACAUACCUUCUGGCCGACCAGGUGGAGGUGACGGAGAUGUGGAUUGGAGUGGUUGUCUUGCUCCCUAAACAAAUAAUUGUAGCUGUAGCAUCUGAUUGGUAUUUUGAGAUUGCCUUGCCUUCCAAUAUGUGCAACUUAAGAUCCUUGAUAGUAUUUCGUGGAAAGAUAAGGAGGGAAGUUUACGUUCCUUCUGUUUCAAGCUUAUGUGAUUGCUGAGAAGGCAAUGAAAGAAGCAGGUCUACAGGUGCCUUAUGUUUCCCACCAGUAUCAGGAUGAUCCAACAAUGUGGUGGACAAGCAUUCAUACAGCCCGCUGUGCGCUUGACCCCUUUGUGAAUAUUAACCUUCAUAUUUGUCUAGUAAUAUUUGAUGCUGGUAGACAGGUUUGGGUGGCACUUAAUUCCAUCCAGGAUGUUGGACACUAUAUAGGCUUUGUGAAUUUAUGGAACCUACAUUGUGUUGUGAUGCAAUUUUCUGUACAUAUAUUCUAAUAAAUGAUCUUAAUUUCCCAA
Elaeis guineensis (African oil palm) is the source of this 1512-nucleotide RNA transcript. It is a transcript of the gene named probable dolichyl-diphosphooligosaccharide--protein glycosyltransferase subunit 3, with no coding region annotated. NCBI's taxonomy places the organism in Eukaryota, Viridiplantae, Streptophyta, Magnoliopsida, Arecales, Arecaceae. The record is from RefSeq and is a predicted model, not a curated record.